AUGCCUGUCUGCUUUCCUAUUGCAGAGGCAGACAGAGAGAGGCCUCUCUCUGAUUUCUGCCUUCUCUGUCCUAUAGACAUGGUUUUAAUGAGUUAUCCUAAUUAGGUCAGGCCCACCUGAGAUAAUCUCUCCUGAUUAACUUGAAGUCAACUGAUUAGGGACCUUUAUUACAUUGACAGAAUACCUCCACUUUUGCCAUAUAAGGUCUUUUAGCACAGGCGCUGCCCUUGGAGUUCCCAGUGUAUCAGCAACAGCCUGGAGAUCACGUUCUCAUCAAAGGGUAGAAAGAAGGGAAACUCAAGCCACCCUGGGAAGAACCCUACCUUGUGCUGCUAACCACUGAGACUGCUGUUGGCACAGUGGAAAGGGGAUGGACACAUCACACCAAGUCAAGCAAGCACAAUUAUCAUCAGAAUCAUGGGCCAUUAUUCCUGGAUCAAGUCCUAUCAAAUUAAAG
This 457-nucleotide long non-coding RNA is filed under the name Homo sapiens (human). RNAcentral's name for it is "HSALNT0346691". The record is from RNAcentral. Lineage: Eukaryota; Metazoa; Chordata; Mammalia; Primates; Hominidae.